CUGGAGCCCCUUACCGAGCACACUCUAAUAGAUAAUAAAAGAGUGGGGCACUGGGGGACAGGCGCCGGGUGGGGAGAUGUUUGCAAAACCAAGUAGGGAUAAACUGCUGAGUGACCAGACCGAAGCGAGCGUUACCGGCGCUGCAGGGUUUUGCCCACUACUUGGAUGGAAGGAGGAAAAAGUGAUGUGUGAAGAGAGAUGGGGGAAGGGGAGAAACCGGUUGGGCAAGCGGCUGGUUGCCGAGCAUAAUCUAACGAAUUUCAAAAGAAAACGUAAUAAAAACUAGACAAGAAACAAUGUUCGUAGACGAGCAUUCUUAGCUUGGAUUAUUUAAAAGACCACUGCGUUGUAGGCAGAGUGGAAGGGAACUCAGUCGAGGCCAAAGGAACCUUACAAGAGAAGACCAGAAGGAGCAAGAAAGAGAGGCAACUAUGAUCAAUAGUUGUUUUUUUUUUCUUUCUUCUUCUUUUUUUAAUCAAUAGGUUUUGCUUACUCCUCGACUGCUUUUUCUUCCAUCUCUUAAUUAGCAACGAAAAGCAACCAAGUUGUUUGCAUGAUGACGCCAGGGGGGGAAAAGGCCUGACCACUUCCUAGAAGGAAGAAAAGAGGCUUUUUAAAGACACCACCUACAGCUAGAUUUGCAGGGCUUUUCUGCAAAUGAAGAGGAAGGAGAGAAGAACCUUUUAGAAAGAGUCGCUUGAUAAAUAAGUGGCCAAUGGCAGGGGAAUGAUUGUCAAAUAGAGUCAUGAUCCUAAAAAGGAUAAGUGAUCACUCUAAAUGAAAUGAAGUGUUGGUUGCUGGCUUGGAGACAGCAGUGGCCAAUAGUUAAGAGGACAAAGCCAAUUAAGUGAACUCUUGAAAAAUCACCAAAACAUUGAACAGUGAAAUACUUAGAUUGAAAACACUACAAUAUUUGCUGUGGAGAAACAGAACUUUGUGGAUUUAUGAAUGGAAAUGAGAUAUAACGUUCUGGAUUCUUACAAGAGAGCAGAAAGUAUGAGCAAUGAAUUGGUUUCCGAUGUUUGCAACUAUGACCUUAAAUGACAGAACUGAGCAGGACUCAUGGUACGCCCAGCAUCCCUUGCAUGUUGCCUGGAAGGUAUUCCUGGACCACUUGCCUUACCUCAGGAGGUUUCUUGGAAUAGAUUGGAAUUCACUGAUGCGUAUUGGAGCACUGUGAGGCUGGCUUCCGGUUAUUGUUAGGACUGACAUGGCUACAGAAUUUCUCCAAACCUCAUAUCUGCAAACUGCAGGGUGUGCAAUACCUUGUACUUGGUGUCCUUAAGUGAUUGGUAGUAUCUCAAUAAGCACAAGAGAGUUAGCAAAUAGGCCCAAUCUCUUCUCUCUGCAGGCUUCACAGACCCAGACUCUAAUGAACCAUGGCAGCGUCAGAGUGCAGCAGCAUUUUACAGAUAAGGGCACCUGACACAAAAAGACCAGGUAACUUGGUCAGAGUUGCAAAAAUCAUUCGAAGAGCCACAACUAAUUGUCAUGUUUUCUGACCUCCAAACCACUUGACAUGUGUUUUGACACAUAUAUUUCCCAAACAGAUUGACAAAAAUCAUUGUUUAAAUGGCUUAAUUUGAUAAUGCUGGCUGAUGCAUUGCUAUUUGAUAGAAAGUAGAUUUAGCUAUCCAAGAAACACACAGUUGACUUUCUUCCAGGUGCUGCAAGUACAUUUUUAGUAAACUAAUUUAAAAAUCAGUAACAGAAGGCCUAUGAUGAACAUUUUUUUGCUUUUUUUUUUUUGUCAGUUUACAUUUGACUAACCUUUUAUAACACCCAAAUGUAUGGGCAUAAUAAGUUGGUGCUGAGAGGAAAACUUUAUGAACUUCUGAGGACCAUAAAGCAGUUAGAAAAUAAGUUAAUAUUCUGAAGUGCAUUAAUUAAUACUUUUGACUACCCUGACCAGUUAAGAUCCUCAGAGACAUAAACCCCAAUUUUGAAUCCAAUUAAAAUGAUCUCCAUUACUAAAUUAACCCAUGUACAUUCAGAUCUUGAUAUAAAAUGACAUAGUCUCAAGACACCAAUUAAUUAAUCAAACAUGCAAAAAUAUGUCAAGAAAAUUAUUAAUCCUUCUAUUCUGAUGUCAGAUCUCAAAGGUCUUCAAACUUCUUGUAUAUUAGAAGUAUUAUAUACUAUGUCAAUUCUUCUUCUCUUUAUUUAAAAGAUGACACUGAAAAAACAUUUCACCAUAUGUUUGUUUUAGAUGCAGUGAAAAAAUGUUCUUUUCGAAACAUAUGGUGAUGUAAUUAGGUGUCUCUGAACACAGCAAGGUUGGAAAGAGAAAUGUAUGAAAGAAAUUGAAACCAUUUGCUGCUCUGGUGUCACCCACCACCUUCCCCACCAACAUUAGUAUCUUCUCCGAGUUAUCAUUGUUGUAAUAAAGAAAAAUUUUAAGCACUUGAAGAUGAGGAAUGUCUGCUGUCACCUACCAUGGUUAUAGCAGAUAGAAUUCCAGGACUGCCUCUUCUUCCCUCUCACUGUGCAAAGCUAUGUGACUCAUGCUGUCAGUACCUCUUGCUGAGGAGUUUUGGCAUUAAUCCAGCAUCAUUGACAUUUGUGUAAUGUUUUGCAGCCGGGAGUCUGCUUUUAUCUAUGGCUUAGCUACCUUUAUGCAGGCUCGUGGGAUUUAUUUCUACUAAUGGGGAGAGGCCUUGUGUUUCUUUUUCUUCAAUAAAAAUGUUUGUUUAAAAAUA
Long non-coding RNA from Herpailurus yagouaroundi (jaguarundi), 2699 nucleotides. RefSeq lists it as uncharacterized. NCBI's taxonomy places the organism in Eukaryota, Metazoa, Chordata, Mammalia, Carnivora, Felidae. The transcript is spliced from 6 exons. The record is from RefSeq and is a predicted model, not a curated record.